Pogoniulus pusillus (Red-fronted tinkerbird) is the source of this 832-nucleotide long non-coding RNA. RefSeq lists it as uncharacterized. The transcript is spliced from 2 exons. The record is from RefSeq and is a predicted model, not a curated record. Lineage: Eukaryota; Metazoa; Chordata; Aves; Piciformes; Lybiidae.
CUCAACGCACCCGGGGGGAGGGUGACUCCACCGCCUCCCUGCGCAGCUCCUUCCAGCCCCGACCGCUCUCUCCGCGAAAAACUUUCCCCUGAUGUCCCACCGAAACCCGCCCAGCCUCGGCUUGAGGCUGCUCCCCCUUGUUCUGCCUGCAGUCACCUGUGAGCAGAGCCCGGCAGCAGCCUCUCCGCGGCGUCCCUUCGGGCAGCAGCGAGGUGUGCCCUCAGCCUCCUGGGCGGCAGCGAGGUGUGCCCUCAGCCUCCUGGGCAGCAGCCUCUCCACGGUGUCCCUGCGGGCAGCAGCGAGGUGUGCCCUCAGCCUCCCGUUUCACACUGACCGUCCCCAGCUCCCUCAGCCGCUCCUCCAGAGGCAGCUCACAGGUCCCUGCCCCCGCACUCACCGCGAGGCAAGGAGGGACUUGCCCUGCCCGGAGGGAGCAGAGCAGAGCAUAGCCCCUGGCAGGGCCUCAGCAGGUGCACUGAUGAGGGCAGAGCAGAGCAUAGCCCCUGGCAGGGCCUCAGCAGGUGCACUGAUGAGGCAGAGCAGAGCAUAGCCCCUGGCAGGGCCUCAGCAGGUGCACUGAUGAGAGCAGAGAGUUGUGGUCAAUGGGAUGGAGCCCAGUUGAAGGCUUGUGGCUGUUGGGGUCCCACAAGGGUCACUACUGGCACCACUUCGGUUCUAUACAUUCAUCAGUGACCUGGGUGAGGGCACAGAGGGCACUGCCAGCAAGCUUCCUGAUGGCACCAAACUGGGUGGAGAAGCUGCCACAGCAGAAGGCUGUGCUGCCAUCCAGCCAGACUUGGGCAGGCUGAGGGUUGGGCAGGGAGACACUGAA